RNAcentral lists this ribosomal RNA (540 nucleotides) under uncultured bacterium. Its description in RNAcentral is "bacterial SSU rRNA". It matches the Rfam family "Bacterial small subunit ribosomal RNA", at positions 775 to 1308 of the family's 1533-position model. The record is from RNAcentral.
AGUCAAUAGAUACCCGGGUAGUCCACGCCCUAAACGAUGUCUACUAGUUGUUGGUGGAGUAAAAUCCAUGAGUAAACGCAGCUAAACGCGUGAAGUAGACCGCCUGGGGAGUACGGUCGCAAGAUUAAAACUCAAAGGAACUGACGGGGGCCCGCACAAGCGGUGGAUUAUGUGGAUUAAAUUCGAUGCAACGCGAAAAACCUUACCUGGCCUUGACAUGCCACUAACGAAGCAGAGAUGCAUUAGGUGCCCGUAAGGGAAAGUGGACACAGGUGCUGCAUGGCUGUCGUCAGCUCGUGUCGUGAGAUGUUGGGUUAAGUCCCGCAACGAGCGCAACCCUUGCCAUUAAUUGCCAUCAUUUAGUUGGGCACUUUAAUGGGACUGCCGGUGACAAACCGGAGGAAGGUGGGGAUGACGUCAAGUCCUCAUGGCCCUUAUGGCCAGGGCUUCACACGUAGUACAAUGGUCGGUACAGAGAGUUGCCAACCCGCGAGGGGAGCUAAUCUCAGAAAGCCGAUCGUAGUCCGGAUUGUUCUCUGC